RNAcentral lists this ribosomal RNA (253 nucleotides) under uncultured bacterium. RNAcentral describes it as "partial 16S ribosomal RNA". It matches the Rfam family "Bacterial small subunit ribosomal RNA", at positions 524 to 776 of the family's 1533-position model. The record is from RNAcentral.
UACGUAGGGUGCGAGCGUUGUCCGGAAUUACUGGGCGUAAAGAGCUCGUAGGUGGUUUGUCGCGUUGUUCGUGAAAACUCACAGCUUAACUGUGGGCGUGCGGGCGAUACGGGCAGACUAGAGUUCGGUAGGGGAGACUGGAAUUCCUGGUGUAGCGGUGAAAUGCGCAGAUAUCAGGAGGAACACCGGUGGCGAAGGCGGGUCUCUGGGCCGAUACUGACGCUGAGGAGCGAAAGCGUGGGGAGCGAACAGG